CCAGCCUUUCAUCUGUAUCCCUGUGGGCUCCAAUCAUUUUAAUCCAAUCCCUCUAAUCCUUUCCUGUGUUCCAGAACUGUGUUUCUCCCAGAGAUCAGCUGAAAAGAGGAGUGACAUAUAGGCCUGGAAGAGAAUGAAAAGAGACUGAAAUCACAGAAGUUGCCACAGCGCAGGAUUGUCAGCCCUGUCCAUGCAGGUGAGUAUUCCAUCACACUUUUUCAGUGCUGUGCAGAGGUGUUCAUGUAGUGAUAUUUAAUGUCAGAUGUGGCAGCUGGAAUU
This 279-nucleotide long non-coding RNA is filed under the name Cyanistes caeruleus (blue tit). RNAcentral describes it as "lncRNA (ENSCCEG00000020384.1)". The record is from RNAcentral. Lineage: Eukaryota; Metazoa; Chordata; Aves; Passeriformes; Paridae.